This 423-nucleotide ribosomal RNA is filed under the name uncultured bacterium. RNAcentral's name for it is "bacterial SSU rRNA". It matches the Rfam family "Bacterial small subunit ribosomal RNA", at positions 207 to 622 of the family's 1533-position model. The record is from RNAcentral.
AAGACCUUGCGCUUUUGGAGCGGCCGAUGCCUGAUUAGCUAGUUGGUGAGGUAAUGGCUCACCAAGGCGUCGAUCAGUAGUUGGUCUGUGAGGACGACCAGCCACACUGGGACUGAGACACGGCCCAGACUCCUACGGGAGGCAGCAGUGGGGAAUUUUGGACAAUGGGCGCAAGCCUGAUCCAGCCAUGCCGCGUGAGUGAAAAAGGCCUUCGGGUUGUAAAGCUCUUUCAGUCGAGAAGAAAAAGUUACGACUAAUAAUCGUGAUCCAUGACGGUAUCGACAGAAGAAGCACCGGCUAACUACGUGCCAGCAGCCGCGGUAAUACGUAGGGUGCGAGCGUUAAUCGGAAUUACUGGGCGUAAAGGGUGCGCAGGCGGCUUUGUAAGUCAGAUGUGAAAUCCCCGGGCUUAACCUGGGAACU